RNAcentral lists this transfer RNA (74 nucleotides) under Cordylochernes scorpioides. RNAcentral's name for it is "tRNA-Asn". It matches the Rfam family "tRNA". From Rfam's summary of the family: Transfer RNA (tRNA) molecules are approximately 80 nucleotides in length. Their secondary structure includes four short double-helical elements and three loops (D, anti-codon, and T loops). The record is from RNAcentral. Lineage: Eukaryota; Metazoa; Arthropoda; Arachnida; Pseudoscorpiones; Chernetidae.
GUCUCCGUGGCGCAAUCGGCUAGCGCGUUCGGCUGUUAACCGAAAGGUUGGUGGUUCGAGCCCACCCGGGAACG